Non-coding RNA from Acanthosepion pharaonis, 116 nucleotides. The record is from the annotation of a GenBank genome assembly. Lineage: Eukaryota; Metazoa; Mollusca; Cephalopoda; Sepiida; Sepiidae.
UUACGGCCAUAUCACGGGGAAGCACCGAUUCUCGAACGAUCGCCGUUAAGUUAAGCAACGUCGGGCCUGGUCAGUACGUAGAUGGGUGACGGCGAGAAAUAUCAGGUGCUGCAUGC